ACGUAAUGAAGGUAGUCAAUUUUCUAAAAAUCGGAUACCGAUUGUAGCGUGGGCAGACCAUACUAAGUGCUACCAUUUCUUUUCUUCACAAACCAACACCCAACACUCAAACCCAAACCCAAAUAAAAAGAAACCUACAACAAACACACACCAAACCCAAAUACAAUAUUCCUACAAAUAAAACCUAACACCCCUAACCCAAAUAAAAAAAAUCCAAAAUCCAAAACCCAAACCCAAAACAAACCCAAUUCCUCAACACCUACACAAGCCCAACAAAACCCAAAAAAAAAUGGAAAGAAAAGAAAAAAAAAGAAAAAAGAAAAAGAAAACCCAAAACCCUAACUUCUACCCUUCCCUAUAGUGCCACUGCCAUCGCCGCAUAUCACCGCCACGCCAUUCGAUCGACGAUUCCUCUUCAAACCCUCGCACCACUGCACUGAGUCGACACCAAAUAACGUCC
This 460-nucleotide long non-coding RNA is filed under the name Gossypium raimondii (Peruvian cotton). RNAcentral describes it as "long non-coding RNA (GRAI_LNC002860)". Lineage: Eukaryota; Viridiplantae; Streptophyta; Magnoliopsida; Malvales; Malvaceae. The record is from RNAcentral.